AUCAAAACUACGCUUAUUCGUCUUCUCGCGUUUCUGGAAUUUUCUCCUUCCAUAUUAGUGUUGGGUUGGGAGCUCCGCCGUUGAGUUCGGAGACAUGUCGGAAAUAGUUCGACUUCGCCGAUAAGGUUCUCUAUCCUUUAUGAAAUGGGAAACAAGAUCAUUUAUGAAACUGAAGCUAAAGGAUUGAACCCUGGAUUGAUAGUGCUGUUGGGUUGUUGUGGGCUGCUGCUGAUAUUCCUUGUAGGGAACUAUGUACUUUACACUUAUGCACAGAAAAAUCUCCUCCUAGAAAAAGAAAGCUGGUAUCCAAGAAGAAGAUGAAGAGAGAGAGGCUGAAGCAAGGAGUCUCUGCACCAGGGAGUAGGACUUUGUCUGAUUUCCUCAGCUCCCUAUCUUAAACUGUUCCCAACUUCCUGUUUUGUAUCCAGUGAGUUACAUCAGUUAAACUUAACAAUUUAGUCAAACAUAAACUGUAAAUUUGGGUAGAUCAGGAAGUGAAUUACUGUUUCUGGUUUGUCUGGUGCAGGUUUACUUGUCUUAAAUUCUGUUGCAUUUACU
Hibiscus syriacus is the source of this 558-nucleotide long non-coding RNA. RefSeq lists it as uncharacterized. The transcript has 2 exons. The record is from RefSeq and is a predicted model, not a curated record. Lineage: Eukaryota; Viridiplantae; Streptophyta; Magnoliopsida; Malvales; Malvaceae.